UAUCACUACGGGGGGCAGCAGUGAGGAAUAUUGGUCAAUGGGCGAGAGCCUGAACCAGCAAUGCCGCGUGAAGGAAGAAGGCCCUCGGGUUGUAAACUUCUUUUAUCAGGGACGAAGGAUGUGACGGUACCUGAUGAAUAAGCUCCGGCUAACUACGUGCCAGCAGCCGCGGUAAUACGUAGGGAGCAAGCGUUAUCCGGAUUUACUGGGUGUAAAGGGCGCGUAGGCGGGAUGGCAAGUCAGAUGUGAAAUCCAGGGGCUCAACCCCUGAACUGCAUUUGAAACUGUCGCUCUUGAGUACUGGA
RNAcentral lists this ribosomal RNA (305 nucleotides) under uncultured bacterium. Its description in RNAcentral is "bacterial SSU rRNA". It matches the Rfam family "Bacterial small subunit ribosomal RNA", at positions 334 to 653 of the family's 1533-position model. The record is from RNAcentral.